This 207-nucleotide ribosomal RNA is filed under the name uncultured Gammaproteobacteria bacterium. RNAcentral's name for it is "uncultured gamma proteobacterium partial 16S ribosomal RNA". It matches the Rfam family "Bacterial small subunit ribosomal RNA", at positions 568 to 774 of the family's 1533-position model. The record is from RNAcentral. Lineage: Bacteria; Pseudomonadati; Pseudomonadota; Gammaproteobacteria.
CACGCAGGCGGUCGGAUAAGUCAGAUGUGAAAGCCCCGGGCUCAACCUGGGAACUGCAUUUGAAACUGUCCGACUAGAGUCUUGUAGAGGGGGGUAGAAUUCCAGGUGUAGCGGUGAAAUGCGUAGAGAUCUGGAGGAAUACCGGUGGCGAAGGCGGCCCCCUGGACAGAGACUGACGCUCAGGUGCGAAAGCGUGGGGAGCAAGCA